CUUUUUCAGAAGAAUGUUUUCCUUUUCUUUAGUUGGCAGUAUGUCUCUUCAUUUGAUGAUUAGCUGAGGAUGGUAGGUAUGGAGUCUCCUAGGUGGGUUUGGAGGAGUAGAGAAGGAAAAAGAAUUGCUGAACCUAUCCUGGAAGAGUAUCCUACUAGAUAU
Long non-coding RNA from Eurytemora carolleeae, 162 nucleotides. RefSeq lists it as uncharacterized. NCBI's taxonomy places the organism in Eukaryota, Metazoa, Arthropoda, Copepoda, Calanoida, Temoridae. The transcript has 3 exons. The record is from RefSeq and is a predicted model, not a curated record.